CAAUAGCGUAUAUUAAAGUUGUUGCAGUUAAAAAGCUCGUAGUUGAACUUCAGACCUGGCCGGGCGGUCUACCUCGCGGUAUGUACUAUCUGGCCGGGUCUUACCUCUUGGUGAGCCGGUAUGCCCUUCACUGGGUGUGCCGGGGAACCAGGACCUUUACCUUGAGAAAAUUAGAGUGUUCAAAGCAGGCCUAUGCCCGAAUACAUUAGCAUGGAAUAAUAAAAUAGGACGUGCGGUUCUAUUUUGUUGGUUUCUAGAGUCGCCGUAAUGAUUAAUAGGGAUAGUUGGGGGCAUUCGUAUUCAGUUGCUAGAGGUGAAAUUCUUGGAUUUACUGAAGACGAACUAUUGCGAAAGCAUUUGCCAAGGAUGUUUUCAUUA
Molecule: ribosomal RNA, 378 nt
Filed under: uncultured eukaryote
Lineage: Eukaryota
Description: partial 18S ribosomal RNA
Rfam family: Eukaryotic small subunit ribosomal RNA
Source: RNAcentral